UUGUGGUUAAAAAGCUCGUAGUUGGAUCUCGGCGGACUGAGGGCGGUUUGCUUGCUAGUAUUACUGCCCUAUAGUCCGUAGUUUUGCCAGAGGUUUCGGGGUGCUCUUAAUCGAGUGUCCCGGGAUGCUGGCAGGUUUACUUUGAAAAAAUUAGAGUGCUCAAAGCAGGCUAUUACGCCUGAAUAUUCGUGCAUGGAAUAAUAGAAUAGGAAGUCGUUUCUAUUUUGUUGGUUUUCGGAAAUCGACUUAAUGAUUAAUAGGGACAGUCGGGGGCAUUUGUAUUCAAACGACAGGGGUGAAAUUCUUGGACCGUUUGAAGAUAAACUACUGCGAAAGCAUUUGCCAAGAAUGUUUUCAUUGAUCAAGAACGAAAGUUAAAGGUUCGAAGGCGAUUAGAUACCGCCCUAGUUUUAACCAUAAACGAUGCCAGCUAGCGAUCUGCGGACGUUUUUUUUGUAGACUCCGCAGGAAGCUUCCGGGAAACCAAAGCAUUUGGGGUUCCAGGGG
RNAcentral lists this ribosomal RNA (507 nucleotides) under uncultured marine eukaryote. RNAcentral describes it as "SSU rRNA". It matches the Rfam family "Eukaryotic small subunit ribosomal RNA", at positions 613 to 1120 of the family's 1831-position model. The record is from RNAcentral.